UUCGCAAUGCCCGAAAGGGUGACGAAGCGACGCCGCGUGUGGGAAGAAGGCCUUCGGGUUGUAAACCACUGUCGGGAGUUAGGAAAUGUAAGGGUGCUAAUAGUAUCCUUACUUGACUAAGGCUCCGGAGGAAGCCACGGCUAACUCUGUGCCAGCAGCCGCGGUAAUACAGAGGCGGCAAGCGUUGUUCGGAAUUAUUGGGCGUAAAGAGCACGUAGGCGGCCUUGUAAGUCAGUUGUGAAAGCCUUCUGCUUAACGGAAGAACAGCAGCUGAUACUGCAAGGCUAGAGUGCGGAAGGGGAGAGUGGAACUUCUGGUGGAGCGGUGAAAUGCGUAGAUAUCAGAAGGAACACCGGCGGCGAAGGCGACUCUCUGGUCCGUAACUGACGCUGAGUGUGCGAAAGCUAGGGGAGCAAACGGGAUUAGAUACCCCGGUAGUCCUAGCCGUAAACGAUGGGCACUAAGUAGAG
Molecule: ribosomal RNA, 470 nt
Filed under: uncultured bacterium
Lineage: Bacteria
Description: bacterial SSU rRNA
Rfam family: Bacterial small subunit ribosomal RNA
Source: RNAcentral